UACGGGGGGGGCAAGCGUUGUUCGGAAUUACUGGGCGUAAAGGGCUCGUAGGCGGCCAACUAAGUCAUACGUGAAAUCCCUCGGCUUAACCGGGGAACUGCGUCUGAUACUGGAUGGCUUGAGUUCGGGAGAGGGAUGCGGAAUUCCAGGUGUAGCGGUGAAAUGCGUAGAUAUCUGGAGGAAUACCGGUGGCGAAGGCGGCAUCCUGGACCGAAACUGACGCUGAUGCGCGAAAGCUAGGGGAGCAAACGGG
This 253-nucleotide ribosomal RNA is filed under the name uncultured bacterium. RNAcentral describes it as "partial 16S ribosomal RNA". It matches the Rfam family "Bacterial small subunit ribosomal RNA", at positions 524 to 776 of the family's 1533-position model. The record is from RNAcentral.